This 496-nucleotide ribosomal RNA is filed under the name uncultured bacterium. RNAcentral describes it as "partial 16S ribosomal RNA". It matches the Rfam family "Bacterial small subunit ribosomal RNA", at positions 28 to 506 of the family's 1533-position model. The record is from RNAcentral.
GAUGAACGCUGGCGGCGUGCCUAAUACAUGCAAGUCGAGCGAACGGACGAGAAGCUUGCUUCUCUGAUGUUAGCGGCGGACGGGUGAGUAACACGUGGAUAACCUACCUAUAAGACUGGGAUAACUUCGGGAAACCGUAGCUAAUACCGGAUAAUAUUUUGAACCGCAUGGUUCAAAAGUGAAAGACGGUCUUGCUGUCACUUAUAGAUGGAUCCGCGCUGCAUUAGCUAGUUGGUAAGGUAACGGCUUACCAAGGCAACGAUGCAUAGCCGACCUGAGAGGGUGAUCGGCCACACUGGAACUGAGACACGGUCCAGACUCCUACGGGAGGCAGCAGUAGGGAAUCUUCCGCAAUGGGCGAAAGCCUGACGGAGCAACGCCGCGUGAGUGAUGAAGGUCUUCGGAUCGUAAAACUCUGUUAUUAGGGAAGAACAUAUGUGUAAGUAACUGUGCACAUCUUGACGGUACCUAAUCAGAAAACCACGGCUGACUACGU